This 107-nucleotide ribosomal RNA is filed under the name Mustela putorius furo (domestic ferret). The record is from RNAcentral. Lineage: Eukaryota; Metazoa; Chordata; Mammalia; Carnivora; Mustelidae.
GUCUACGGCCAUACCACCCUGAACGCGCCCGAUCUCGUCUGAUCUCGGAAGCUAAGCAGGGUCGGGCCUGGUUAGUACUUGGAUGGAUUUAAUACAGGUAGAAGAUA